CACUCCUACCCCGUCCUCAUCCAAAAUCAACCCCUCAUUCGCUUUCCCUUUUCCCAGAGUUCUUGCUCCAUCUCAGAGAAACAAAAUCGCGCCGCCGCCGGGUGUCGAACACCUGGUGGGCGGGGGUUGCGCCUUCGCCGCAGGGCCUCUCGGCCGGUGUGGGUCGCGGGGUGUGUUGAGGAGAUGUCCGCGUUGCUGUUGCUGCUGUUGGAGGGAGCCGGGAGCCGCUACGCGAGGGAGGACGAGCGUCAAACACCUGCGACCGUCGCCGACCGCCGUCUGCCCCUGUUUCGACCGCACCGCGCCACGCGCCGUCGAACUUCGCCGUUCCGCCACUCCGUGCGCCUGGACACCGACAAGCCAGCGGCCCCCUCGAUUUGGGGUGCGCGCAGCCGUAGCCAUGCCGACUCCGGCCGCCACCGCGCCAUGGUUGAGCUCGCCGUGGAGAGACCUCCCGGUUGCACUCGAAUUGAUCUCCAUUGCGCCGCCGGCGUUCCCGUGAUCUCGGCACCACCGCGCGCCGUCGCGCCGCGCGUCGGGGGGUCGCCGCGCCUCGCCACCGCCGCCGGAGGGUCUCCGGUGGUGUGCCGCCACUCGCCCCACCGUGCGCCGAGCCGUUCCGGCUUGGGCCGUCGCACCGUCGUGCGCCGCUUCUCGGCUCAGCCGCGAGCGGAAGGAAGAAGACGACGGGGAAAAAGAAAAAGAACGAGAGAGAGAGAAACCAUGUGGGACCCACAUAUUAUUAGCGCGCAGUAA
RNAcentral lists this long non-coding RNA (756 nucleotides) under Oryza sativa Indica Group (long-grained rice). Its description in RNAcentral is "lncRNA OsMH63_04G000620". The record is from RNAcentral. Lineage: Eukaryota; Viridiplantae; Streptophyta; Magnoliopsida; Poales; Poaceae.